GCACCCGUAGCUCAGUUGGAUAGAGCGUCGGUCUACGGAACCGAAGGUCGAACGUUCGAGUCGUUCCGGGUGCA
Molecule: transfer RNA, 74 nt
Filed under: Acidobacteriota bacterium
Lineage: Bacteria; Pseudomonadati; Acidobacteriota
Description: tRNA-Arg
Rfam family: tRNA
About the family: Transfer RNA (tRNA) molecules are approximately 80 nucleotides in length. Their secondary structure includes four short double-helical elements and three loops (D, anti-codon, and T loops).
Source: RNAcentral